UAACAAGACCGUUCUCUUUGAGGUCGGUCAUUGGAAUGAGUACAAUCCAGAAACUUUAACGAGUAUCUACGAGAGGGCAAGUCUGGUGCCAGCAGCCGCGGUAAUUCCAGCUCUCGUAAGGUAUAGAAUUAUUGCUGUGGUUAAAAAGUUCGUAGUUGAAUUGUCGAGUUGGCAAGGGUCUACCCUAACGGGUAUGUACUCGUUGCUUGCUUAUUUGUGCGUUUAGCGCAUCGGAUGCUUGCAUUCGGUGUGCGACGUACUGGAUUACUUUGAACGGCUCAAGUGCUUAAAGCACGUCUUAUGACUGAAUACCGGUGCAUGGAAUAAUGGAACAAGGCUUCGGCCGGGUUUUGAUUGGUUUUGCCGGCUGAAACAAUGGUUAACAGGAACAGUCGGGGGCAUUCGUAUCGCUGCGCGAGAGGUGAAAUUCGUGGACCGUAGCGAGACGCCCAAAAGCGAAGGCACUUGCCAAGAGUGUUUUCAUUAAUCAAGAACGAAAGUCAGAGGUUCGAAGGCGAUUAGAUACCGCCCUAGUUCUGACCGUAAACGAUGCCAACUGUCGAUCCGCUUGUGGAUUCAAUUCAUGAGCGGGGAGGUUCCCGGAAACGAAAGUUUUUCGGUUCCGGGGGAAGUAUGGUUGCAAAGCUGAAACUUAAAGGAAUUGACGGAAGGGCACCACCAGGAGUGGAGCUUGCGGCUUAAUUUGACUCAACACGGGAAAACUCACCCGGCCAGUACAUUGUAAGGAUUGACAGACUGAUAGCUUUUUCAUGAUUCGGUGAAUGGUGGUGCAUGGCCGUUCUUAGUUCGUGGAUCGAUUUGUCUGGUUUAUUCCGAUAACGAGCGAGACUUUGACUAUUAAAUAGUGCAAUUGUUUCUUUUGAUGCGAUUGAACACUUCUUAAAAGAAUUUGGGGUUUCCAACCUCAAGAGAUUGAGCAAUAACAGGUCUGUGAUGCCCUUAGAUGUUCGGGGCCGCACGCGUGCUACAAUGAUGGUGGCAGCGUGAUUGUCCUCUUCCGAAAGGAAUUGGCAAACAGUUGAGUGAUUAUUUUGGCUGGAAUUGAGUAUUGAAAUUUUCACUCAUGAACGAGGA
Molecule: ribosomal RNA, 1095 nt
Filed under: Ektaphelenchoides pini
Lineage: Eukaryota; Metazoa; Nematoda; Chromadorea; Rhabditida; Aphelenchoididae
Description: SSU rRNA
Rfam family: Eukaryotic small subunit ribosomal RNA
Source: RNAcentral